Pteropus vampyrus (large flying fox) is the source of this 89-nucleotide small nucleolar RNA. Its record names the gene U3. It matches the Rfam family "Small nucleolar RNA U3". Rfam says of the family: Small nucleolar RNAs (snoRNAs) are involved in the processing and modification of rRNA in the nucleolus. There are two main classes of snoRNAs: the box C/D class, and the box H/ACA class. The record is from Ensembl. Lineage: Eukaryota; Metazoa; Chordata; Mammalia; Chiroptera; Pteropodidae.
AAGACUAUACUUUUAGGGAUCAUUUCUCCAAUUACUAGAAAGAUUUCUCUAAAUGUGUAGAGUACCUGAAACCGAGAGGAGACAGUAAA